This is a long non-coding RNA of Cebus imitator (Panamanian white-faced capuchin), 956 nucleotides long. RefSeq lists it as uncharacterized. NCBI's taxonomy places the organism in Eukaryota, Metazoa, Chordata, Mammalia, Primates, Cebidae. The record is from RefSeq and is a predicted model, not a curated record. The transcript has 2 exons.
AUGGCCAGCUGCGUUCCCUGUCCGUUUCUUUCCAGCAAACACUGUUUGCCCGAGUCAGGCUGGUGAGGACACAGAAGAGGGACCUGUUCUGCGUCUCAGGCAUUUCACAACUGUGGCGAUGCUGUGGCAGCUCUUACGUGGUUCUGUGGGUUCUGCUGGGUUCUGCUUCGGUGUGAAGCUCUGCAGAUGUGCAGAGGGGAUCAGCUCUGGUUUCUGAUCAAGCAGGAAAUCCCACGUUCUCACUUAAAAAUGAAACUGGAAGACAGCACAACUUUAUAGCCAUGCUCCUAUGGCCAGACACGGGACAAAAAGAUUUGUAACAGAAAAAUAUGUGGUGAAAUGACAUUUCCUGUGUGUUUUUGGCUAACCAGUCAGAAAAGUUCCCAUGAGUGAGAGAGGGUUCCUAAGAAACACGCUCCUGUAUUUAUUGUAAAGUCUUCACGGAUCUCUAAGUUUCACAAACAGGAGACGAAACCACGGCUACGAAGAAGAACUUGGAAAUCCCAGACCACGAUGAAGACGCAGUCCUACAGUCCCACAGGAUGACGUGUCCAAGCUUACAGUGUCAUUGCUUGUCUCAAGGAGCGUCAGGAGUUAAUGACGGGAACUUUUUGGUUUUAAUAAAAGAAAGCUCCCCGGUGCCUGCUCUGCAGCAAGAGUGACCUUCGUGACGGCAGCGUCUCCACAGUGCUGGACCAUGUGGAGACCUGGGAUCCCAUGUCAUGGAGGAGCUCCUGCCAGAGGGAGGCUGGUCAGGGCCAACACAGGCUCAAGCCAACGGCACCCAUCACGGGGACUUUGAGAAGACGAGCCGCUGCACAGUUUAAUUCUGAGCAGGGAGUUUCCUUUCAGCCUGUGAUAAAAAUGCACCUGAGCUCUUUUCAAAAUGACGGUGAAAUUUCCAUGAGAAAAGUAAGAGUGUCCUUGCCGAGGUUGCUCUUACUUUUUGUCUAUGU